UACGGAGGAUCCAAGCGUUAUCCGGAUUCAUUGGGUUUAAAGGGUGCGUAGGCGGAAUGGUAAGUCAGUGGUGAAAGCCUACAGCUUAACUGUAGAAUUGCCGUUGAUACUGCCAAUCUUGAGUGCAGUUGAUGUGGGCGGAAUAUGACAUGUAGCGGUGAAAUGCUUAGAUAUGUCAUAGAACACCGAUUGCGAAGGCAGCUCACAAAACUGUAACUGACGCUGAGGCACGAAAGCGUGGGGAUCGAACAGGAUUAGAAACCCCUGUAGUCC
RNAcentral lists this ribosomal RNA (273 nucleotides) under uncultured bacterium. RNAcentral describes it as "partial 16S ribosomal RNA". It matches the Rfam family "Bacterial small subunit ribosomal RNA", at positions 524 to 796 of the family's 1533-position model. The record is from RNAcentral.